This 253-nucleotide ribosomal RNA is filed under the name uncultured bacterium. RNAcentral's name for it is "partial 16S ribosomal RNA". It matches the Rfam family "Bacterial small subunit ribosomal RNA", at positions 524 to 776 of the family's 1533-position model. The record is from RNAcentral.
UACGUAGGGGGCUAGCGUUGUCCGGAAUCAUUGGGCGUAAAGAGCGUGUAGGCGGCCCGGUAAGUCCGCUGUGAAAGUCGUGGGCUCAACCCUCGAAUGCCGGUGGAUACUGUCGGGCUAGAGUGCGGAAGAGGCGAGUGGAAUUCCUGGUGUAGCGGUGAAAUGCGCAGAUAUCAGGAGGAACACCGAUUGCGAAGGCAGCUCGCUGGGACGUAACUGACGCUGAGACGCGAAAGCGUGGGGAGCAAACAGG